UGGGGAUACUUAACAAAGAAACUGUUCUGUGAAAACGAAAACUCAGAACGAAAAUAUAUCUCCGGGAAGGAAAAAAGAAAACAAAUAAGGCAUUUUUUUGGAUCCACACGAGAUUACAUCUGGCUCGAACAUCAAGAGAUUCCCUAGCUUUUGCAUUAAACUAUUUUAUACAAAAAUAAUAGUAAUUAUUAUUGAUAGUGUUUUGUCGUUAAUGCUUUUCAUUGGUUACAUAGUCAUAUUCUGAAUCUGAUUCAUUGUAUGUGGGAGCUGAGGUUGUCCUUAGUUGGUCCACUGUUAUUACCACUAUUAUACAAUUUUGGAGAAACAGUAUUAAAACAUAUCCGUAGUAUAUUGUACUCUAUAUGUCAUAUAAUAUAUAUAUAUAUAUAUAUAUAUAAUAUCCAACUCGAGUUAAUCUGUCAGUUUGCCUAAUGUUAAUGAGAUCGUUUUUUGGCGGGUUAAAUAUUAAUGAGAUUAGUUGAAUAUAGGUAUGAAACAACGCAGCCGUAUAAAUAAAAAAUAUAUACAAAAAAUGAAACUAUACAGAUAUAAUCUAAUUUAAUUAACAGAUUGAGGAUAAUUAUUUUUUUAACGAAAAUAAAUAAUUGUGGAAUCAAUAUAAAAGAGAAGAGUAUAUUUCACUUUAGUAAAUUUUGGGGGGAAAAAUUGUAAGAUCACUCCAUGAUAUUGCGAAUAUGAACUACUCUAUGAACUAAUCUAAAUUUUUCAUAAAUUGUCAUUUCAGGUUUCGUUUUCAGCUGAACUAUAUAUGUGAUGUAAUGUACUAAUAAUCACCAAAAGCAGAUAAAAUCUAAUCUAAGAGCUGAGUUACAAGUGGAGAAAUAACCCACAUGAGGAAGGCCCACUUUUAGCGUCCAGGUUUUCGACACGUGUGUUUCUGGGACCACCAACUAGCUUCAGAAAACCCUAAUGAUAUCGUAAUUAUCUGAAAUGUUAUUUAUUUUUUUUAAGGCAAAUGUUAUUUUAUUUUAUCGAUUUACUAAUUAUCCCUCCCUGAAAAUGUUUAGCUUUUUCUGACUUGAGUGAAUAUGACAACUUUCGGUCCGAUCUUCUUCUUUCUUUACACUGAUCUUUGGUCGGAUCUUAUAAUAUAUUGAUACCACCACGGUUUAUUCAUUGUUUUUCUUUAUACACAAUCCUUUUUUUUUCCUUUCCUUUGUACCUACUUACCUCAGUGAGGAAUUAAAUACGUUUAAUAAAGAAAGAAAACUAUAAAUUAUAUACAGAACAAGUGUAAUUAAAAUUAAAUUGACGGUUGUUUUCUUUAGGUUUAUACAUAAACUCUACAAAUAAAAAGACAAAUCUGAAUGUGUGUGUAUAGUCACUAUAGUGGGGUAGGAGCAGGACCCACAAUGUCUAUUAGAAAGGCUACAACGCGUGCUAACUCUUUUUAUUAUUAAUCCCAAAUUUAUUAACUCUCUCUUUGCUUCCACAUGCCGUCACUUCACUUUAAGUCUUCUUAUUAUUUCUUUUACAUUUAUUCACAAUAGAUCAUAAUGACCAAAUCACCCCCUUGUUUUCACCAUUUAACUAUUCAUACUUUUGGGAUUCGUUUUAUGACCUAUAAUUAUUCAUAAACUAACCAACCGGGCACAUAAACAAGAAAAAAAAAACUAAAUAGGUUUUAGCAAAAAAUACGUGACUAUUUAUAAUAGCAACAAUGAGAAAUGUUUUAUAUUACGAUGUAACAAAUUGCUAUUCAUGUAUAGUACCCAUGUCCGUUCUUAUUCGUGUGUUCUAAUAUUAUCCAAUAUGAGGCAGACAAAUAUAAUUUUGAGUAUCUUCUGUAGUUUUUUUUUCAUCUAUUUCACAGACAAAAACAUUGUAAGUAACGGUCUAUCUGUACAGAAUAAACAGACAAUAAUUCAUGUGAUGUACUAUUCGAAACUUAGAUGUUGACCUGCAGAUUCAAACUUUGGAACUCUAAACAAAUCUGAUUUUAUUUAAGCCAAUAGAAGCAAUCAUCGUGCCCCUAAUUACUGUUAAGUAUUGUACUUGAUAUCAUGUUUGGUUUGGUUUUAGAAUUAUAGUUUAACUAAUUGUUUUUAUAUGAUUUUAUAUGAGUUUCCUUCUUGCUUCUCGUCUCACAUGGCUCCGCCUAAUCCAGCCAUCUCUUUUUCUCUACAAUAAUCACAUUUAACUGAUUUUUUAAUUUAAUAACAUACGCAUGCAUCCGCGGAAGGAAUCGUUUGAUUUUUUAUUACAACAUCCUGUAAUUAAAUAUUAACCGCAGAUCAAUAUAGUUUUAAAAAUUGUUGAAUUUUAUAAUAUUUGAGAUAUAGUAAUCAUUUUGGGAUCUAUAUUCAAGAAUUGCAUUAUUGCAAUAGCAAAACACGAUGCAAUGUGUUUCUUAAUGCACCGGCAAUUAGUUGAAACUUAAAAGAUUGGCUAGAUCUAUGAACUCCAAUAUAAAAUAUUAGUAUAUUUCACUUAUCCUAUUGUUACUAAUCAUAAUCAUUAGAAAACUUAAUUAGCAUCGUUGCCAUCUUUUGAGAUUGAUAUACAGAUUGAUGAACUUUUAGACCAAAUUACAUACACACAGAUUUUAUUAUGCUAAAUCUUUGGUAGUUCAUUAAUUUACAUGGAUUAAUCAAAAAGAUCUUUUUAAUGUAUUUAUACUUUUAGUUAAAAAUGUAUUUAUACUCUACACUCGUUACUUACACACAAACAUGAAUACAUCAUACAUGAUAGAUAUAAUUAUACAACAUAACAACAUUAUUAAAAUAACUCAAAUAGAGUAUAUAUACUAAUUCAAAUAUUCAUGUGACCAUGUGAGUAUAACUCAAUAGAGUAGUAAUCAUUAUCAUUUUUAUAUUUAAUAUGUAUUAUAAUUCAAACAUAACUACGAUAAGUCGGUGCGUAAUCGAAGUACCCCAUGUUAGCACAAGAUAUAUUUUUUUUUUAGAAAACUGGCCUUAGCACGAGAUUUCUUUGAGAGGAGAUUGCGAAACAAGUAGAAGACAAGCUAGAUUAAAAUAUAGAAAUAUAUUUUUAGUUUUAAUGAAACUUUUGAUGUCACUAAAUUCAUGCUGAUAGUUUUUUUUUUCGAGAGGUUUAAUUUGGAAUCUUAUGAAUUAAAUUAUAUUUCUUUUUUUUUUGUUAUGGUCCCUCUUUUUUUCAAUGGCCAUUGAUUUUAGAACAAAAGCGAAUCAUUUCACGCAGUUUAUAUUCAUUCAAUUUAUCUCAAAAAUUAUAUCACUAUUAGAUAAUCUAUGAAUUAAUCAGCUAUUGAUCCGUCUGCAUUUUCCGAAUCAUAUCCAGUAAAUCAAGAGUUAUUUUAACAUGUGUUUAUAGAAGCUUAAGCAAAAUUAUCACCAUCUAACGUAUUCGGUGUUACCUCAUCAAUUCAAAUUUCGAUAAUGUCAGCAAACGUUAAAGUCUUAAAAAAUCAUGCAUUAUCUUUACGAUCUUCAUUCAGAUGUUAGGUUUUUUCAAACGGAAAUGUUUUUCAGAUGUUAAGUUGGUCAUCUUAAAAUGCAUUUAGUCACUAGAGUAACUACACGAAAUGGUUAUAUGAAUCUAAGUUUCCUAAAACAUCAACCAUAUAAUUAUAUUUCCAUCAAAUAUAUACAAAAGUUUACGUACUCAUAUGUAGGCAAGUUGGAAAAACGCAAGACAGGAGAAAGGCAAAGAAAACCAAAAAACUAUUAUUCCAUUUAUAAAAAAGCUAACAAGUGAUAUACUAUAAGAGGAUGAUGAGGAUCUAUCUCAUUAAACUUGGUGUCAGAUGAAAAAAGAUAAUCAUGAGAUUUUUGGGUAUGGUUGGAUAAUAUCAUAAUACCCAGUACGGAAGAUGAUGGUGGAGAAUAUAUACGUCUUCAUUUAUAUUGGUAAAAGAAUAUACAGAAAUGGGAAUCAUUUGAAUUCCCCAAAAUAAUACAAAACGACACUAUUUUCAUAUUUUGUUACAAAAGAUAGUAGCUCUGUCUCCAAUUGGUUGUUAUUAUAAUAUUUUAUCUGUUUUAGUUUUUUAUAUGGUUACAUGCAUAUAUAUAUAUAUAUCUUGAUCAUGUCCAGUGAGGACUUGUCUGGAAUAUAUUGGCUAAAAAUCAUUUUCUUUUGUUCAUCAUUUGUCCAAAUCCUCUUGAUCUUCUCAGUUUUAUAUUAUAUCAACACAUCCAAUUAUUUUCAUACCCCUGCAUACACAUAUAAUAUUCAUAACCAAAUCGUCUUUCAUAAGACUUAGGAUUCUAUAUUAUCAGUAAUACCUAACAUAUGUAAAUUCUUGGGACAUUAAUUGAUUCAUUUUUUGAGUUAAAAGUUUAAACUACAAAAUAUAGUAGUUUUUUACAAUUCAUCUUUACUUGAAGAGUUUUAUUACUAAAAACCCUUUAUAUUUGUGGCAUAUAAAUUAAUUAAAAAGGCUCAUCUUCUGGAGAAUAUUCGAGACUAAAAUAUUAAGGUUAUAGUUAUACUAGUGAAUUCAUAAUAUUUAUAUAAAAGUGGUUAUUGUUUUCUCUGUCUAUUAGAGAGUGGAGAAAUAGAUGAACAUACAAACUUUUAGCAUAUGGAAACCCUCAGCAUUUUCCUUGCCUCCUUCACAAAUAUCACAGCCUGUCAAAAUUAGCCCUUUAAAACUACUAUUAAACUUCAUCACUAUAUAGGGGGUAUUUGCUUAUUAAUCUUUUAAUUAUUAUAAGCAUUUCCUUAGCUGUGAAUUCCCAUUAUCCCCCUCCUCUCUCGCCCCCUCUUUCUCUAUAUUUCUCUCUCCUUCCUCACUGCUUUACUCCUAUAUUGAUUGUUGACAAAGUCCUAAAGUGAUCUCUUAGAUUUUGGAUUAUUUAUUAAGUUAUGCUUUGGAGCGAAUUGUUGAAGAAACAUAUAGCAUAAGGUAAGUGUAUGCGUCUUAAACGGCUUCUAUAAGCUUCUCUAAGUGAGUUUUCUGGCAUGAACUCAGAGCCUUAGAACAUGAUCAAUGACCUUCUUUGGAGACAAUCACAGCUUGGCCACUCUUCUUUUCAGGCAUGGGAACAAAGAUCGUUGAGCGAAUUACGACAAACUCAUUUGGCUUAGAGAGUGUCGAUUGUAGUGGAUUCGUCAGAUUUGGUGUUGAUGAUCAACGAAAAUCUUCAAAGGAGAAUUGACCGACGACAAAGAAGAGAACGGAGUUUUUGUUUAAAGGUCAAUGGAUAGGUUUCUUGAAAAGCAAAGUGCUGAGUCCAUCAGACGGACAAUGCAAGCCCAAGAAGAUCUUUUCAAGCAACAGGUACGAGAGCUGCAUAGAGUAUAUAAUAUACAGAAGAAGAUGAUGGAGCAACUCAAACAUAGAAGCCAGUAUUGUACUACUAACAACCAAGACCAAACCGGUCCAAGAGAGAGAACCGGAAGCUGGUCAGGCAUAGUCCUGGAAAAUGUAGCUAGAGCCAGGAACACAACAACGGCGGAACAUGUUGAAGAAAGCGAACUAGAAUUGACAUUGAGCAUUGGAAUGUCUUCUUCCUCUAUGAACAAGGACAUGGACUACUCGUCGACGACGUCAUUCAGAUCAUCAUCGGAUAAUUGUAAUAAUCAGAGCAACAAUAUUAACUGUAAUAACCAAGAAAGUAGCGGACCAACCACGCCUAUGAGCAGCUCAAGUACGACGUCAUUGGACCGAGAGAAGAAGAGACCUCAUUGGCUCUUUCAGGGACUUAGUAUUAACCGGACUUCAUGAUUUUUGUUAAUUCACUGACUCUUUCUUUUUCCUUCUUCGACUUCUUCUUGGUUUUCUUCUUUUGUAUCUUAUUUGUUACUAUUAUUAUCUACCAGAUUUACUGAUACUUGUAUUAGCUCUAAUUAUUUUUUCUUAAUUGUCACCAAAAAGUCAAAAACCCAUUGACAAAAUAAACCAUCAAGUAUUUAUUUGAGCCUUCUUCAAUCGAAAAAUUUGAACAUGUAGAAUUAGAGAGCAUGAAUAUAUUAUUGUGUGUGUCUUAAAAUAAAAUAAAAACUAAUAUUUAUUGUGUUGUGUCUUAAUGACUUACAAGAUAAUUGUAUAUACAUAAAACUUAAACCUAUUUCAACUACGAAUAUAACUUAUUCAAACUUAAAAUAUAUAGCUAAAUCAUCUAAACAUUAUGAUAAAAUGAUAUAUAUAAUAUUCUUCGGCUGGGCUUGAUAGAUUUCACGAAUUUCAUUUCAUAAUAGUUGGACUCCAAAGGUCCAUAACAGACACAAUACAUCUCCAAUAUAACACAAAAUCUAUAUCUGAGAGCAUGAUUAACUCGGGUUCUUAAUUGAGAGUCUUAAUUUAUGAUGACACUUUUUUUUUUUACAUUUUUCGGUUAAGAGCUAGCUUUUAUAGUUUUUAUAUCUCUUAUUUAAAUAAUAGUUAUUAGCUUUGCUUAAUUAAAAGCUAAAAAACGCUUUUUAGCUCAAGUUAAGAAUCUCACCUUAAGAAUCCGGGUUUAUCAUGGCCUGACUAUGAUAUAAUAGCACAUGGUAUACACAAGCCUGUUUUUUCUUAACUGUUGUUCUUUCUCGUCCGUAAUAGUAAUCAAUUCGUCGUUUUCUUCAUUUCUUGAUCGGAAAAAGUUUAUUGUCACGGCUGAAGUGGCUCCAAGAAACAUGAAGAGAACGAGGGGUCGAACCCACCGCCGACACCAGCUGCCACCGCAGGACCAGGGGCAAAGAAGGAAAACGGUGACAAUCCCCAACCGCCGCAUCCAUAUCCAUAACCACCGAUCAAAGGUGGUGCGACCGGAGGAUUAACGUAGAUGUUGGUCCUAUAAACAGAAAAAUGCGUUAGUGAUAUAAAGUAGUCUUUAUCCUUUUUUUUUUUGUAACAGAAUAAUUUAAGCCACUGAACCUAAGAGGAUAACUUAAGAGCAUCUCUAAUGUAAAACUCUAUUUUUUCCUUCAAAAUGGAGUAAAAGUAAAAAUGAAGUAAAAUUGCUUUAACCCUACUCCAUUUCCCACUCUAUAAUGGAGUGAUGAACAAACAAAAAAUAGUUUACUCCAUUUAUGGAGUAAAUUUCAUUAUGGAGUGAGAUAUGAAGUUGGAUUGGAGCAUUCCUUACUCCAUAUUCACUUUUACUCCAUUUUAGUCUUUAUCCUCCAAACGCCAACUUUUGUGUGUUUGGCUGUUUGCAUUUACUUUUGCAUUUACUUACAUAUGAAAAAGCAUUCACAAGACAAUCAUUUGUCUAAAAUCUAUAUCAUUUUUGUUCUUCGUUUUUUUUUAAUGAUUAAUCAAAAAAAAAUUGUUCAUAAAGCUAACGGUUAUUUGAAAAAAAAAACUGCAUAACCAAGGUGUAACCUUCGUGGUUUGGUGUUUUGUAUCCAAAGUAUCUCUAUAAUAUUAUUUGACAAGUCAGUUUCCUACGUGUCGCGCUUACGUUAAUUCUUACAACGGCUAUUUACAGAAGUACCCUUAAUAAAUGAAACUAUUAUUUCAAAUUGACAUUAUUAAAGCUAUUUAAUAAUUUAUUCCAUUUAAAUUUUAGUAUCCUUUGUAUAUUUUGUUAAAUUAUAUAUAAUAAAAAGAAAAUAUUCAUAUAAUAAAAACGAAGUUAAUAUUUACAAAAACGAAUAUAGUUAUUCCAAUUUACAUUUUAAAUUUUAGUUUCCUUUUUUAUUUUUUUUCUAAAUAGCAUAUAUAAUAAAAAAGAAAAUGUUCAUAUAUUAAAAACGAAAAUACUAUUUACAAAAGGAAAGACAAGGUUUUUUAUAAAAAAAUAUUUAUAUAAUGUGAUUUCAUAAAAAAUAAAGUUCACAAAAAACAGUUUGAUGUUAAAAAAGAUAACCUCUCUUUAAAACAUAAUAUUAAACAACAGAAUAUAUAUUAAUUAAUAAAAAUAUUGUAUUUAUGUCAGCCAUUUUCUUAGAUUUUUACAAAAGGUAAUUUAAGUAACAUAUACUAAAAUAUCACUGAUGAACUAAAAAUAUUUUAUAAUUGAUACGAAUGAGAUGUUUAUUCAAUUUUAUAAAAUUUCUUUUUGUUAAACUUUUAACUAUGAGUUUUCAAAAUUUUACAAAUCUACAAAUAUCAAAUUAAACAAAAGAAUUUACAAAGUUUUAUAUAUAUUUAAAUAAAAAUCUGAACUAAUGAAAUAAAUAAAAUCAAAUUUAGUUUAACUAGAAUCAAAAGUAAUCGUGCUUCGAAUUGAAAACAUAUGUGUAGUUUAAUAUCAUCCACAAAUGAGUAAUUUAGACAAUAUAUAUUUUAAAGUCCAAGACCAAAAUAUAAAUGUAAAAAAUAAAACUUAAUCAAAAUAAUAAUCUAUAUUAGCACAAAAAAUACUACGGUUAAAUAUGGAGAAUUAAAUACAAUUCAAUAUACCAAAGUAAUAAUCACAUCAUCGACUAAAGAUAUUAUAUAUUCAAAUUUUAUGUCUAAUUAAAAUUAUAUAAUGUUAUUUAAAAUAAAUCAAACAUAUAAAUUAAAAUUAGAGUAUUAGUAAUGAAAAUAUUUUUAUUUGUAUAUAUUUAUAUCCGUGCAUGAGCACGGGAAAAUCACCAAGUUAAAAAUAUACGGAAUACAAAUGCUUUAAAGUUUGUUAGUAAUGGGCUAGUAUCAUAUACUUUGAAUUUCGAGAAUGUUAAACAAGUCUAAAAUAGAGAGCUUCAGAUAACAAAAAAAAAAAAAUAUAAUUACCUCGAUCGGUUGUUAAUUCUAGGUGGAGCCGUCGAGGCCUAGGAGCAGAAGACCGAAACGCUUGACCGCCAAUUCUUCCACCGCUCUUAGCCGCAGACGCAACUCCAACGGAUCCCAAAGCCAAAACGCUAACCGCUAACGUCGCGAUUGCCAAUUUCGCCAGCUGAUUCUCAUUUCUCCUAACAAAUAAAUAAAUAAUUCUUGAAUAAGGUAAAUUAAAAUUAAAACGGAUAAAUUCUAUAGAAAAGUAAAGAAUAUUACCUCGGUCAGAUUCGUCUUCAUGGUGUGGAGCUUUGCAUUGCAACUGAUUAUGUUUGGGUUUGAAACUGUAUCGGAAACUGAAAAAAGUUUGAUAAGAAGCUUUGUCGUGAAGAAGCUAUAGCUCCAAGGUACAUGUUUAUUGUCUCACUGUACUUUUUGUUCUAGAAGCUUUCUUUCCUUUUUUCUAAAGGAUCUUUCCUCGGCUUCUCGGUUUCUUUUCUAGCUUUGGGUUUGUGAUAAAGCGAUUGCCACGCGACUACAUGAGUUACAACUUAGUGGUCGUCUGAUCAAGAACACAUGCAUCCAAGGAUUAUGAUAUCCGUUUAUGUAUAUCUUAUCGGUCUGAAGAUAAUUGAACCGCUACUCAUCAAAUCGGAUCCCAAUCUUGGACCAAGAAAGAAUAAUGGGAAUGUUAUUCUAUGUGCAUUUUGAUUGCCUUUUUUUUAUCUUUCUCACCGAUGCUACUUACUUUAGUGAUUCCAUAAAACUUUAUAUUUAGGCCAUUGGUAUAAGUCUUACUGCGCGGGAUAAAAUUAUAUAUAAAUUACAUUUAGGUAUUAUAUAUUUUUUACAUAUCAUAAAAUAAUAAAUAUAUAUUGAACAAUUAAAAAAAAUUUAGUAACUAUAACGUAUAUAAUUAAAUUAAUACAAAUACAUAAAUAAAUUUUAUUAAUCCAAACAAACAAUUUUUCUAUUUUAUAUGGUAUAUAAUUAAGUUUAAAUGAUAUUAACAUAGAUAUAUAGUAAAUUUUUAAUAUUCAUAUCUGUUAAAUAAUAUUUUAUAAUCAUAUUGUUUUUGAUCAUUUCUAUUUUUCUUAUAACAAAAAUUUUAAUUCACUGAUAACAAUUUUUUUUGUGGAAUGUUCAAUAGUUUUAGCAAUUUAGUAAUUUAUAAUUUUGAAAAAAAUCUAAAUAUUAAGUUGUGAAUAUUUGUUCAAAGCUUUUAUAAAAAAAGUAAUUUUAAAAAUAAAAUAUUUAUGUAUUUUAUAUUGUAUAUAAUAUAUUUUAAAUGAUAUAUAUAUAUAUAUAUAAUUUAUAUAUUAAUAUUUAUUAAAUGAGACUUUUUACUUAUAUAAAUUUGUAAUAAUUUGUAUCUUGUCAUAACAUAAAUUAUAAACCAUGGAGCACAAAAAAUCCAAUGUGAGAUUUAACAGCUAUAGUCAUGUAUACUCAUUUAAAAAAAUACAAAAUAUAAUAUGUAUGAAAAAAUUAAAAAUUUUAUUAUAUAGUUAAAGAGUUUGUUUAAUUUAUUUUAAUAAGUUAAAAUCUAAAAAAUGAUAAGAGUAUAGACUAGUUUUUAUGAAAUUUUUAUUAUUCAUACAUUAAUUGUCAUAUAUACUUCAGUCACAUUAGAUAAUUUCGUAAUUUUUAUUUAAGGAAAUUAUGAAGAAUUUUAAUAACUAAUUUAUGAUUAAUUUAAUAAAAAAUUAUUUAAACAAGAAUGUUGCACCAUUUCUUUGACUAAUAAUAUUUUAGUCUUAUUUUAAAUUUGACUAACAAUAUGUUAUCAUAUAUUUAUCUAAUAAUAAUUUAAUCAAUUUAAUAGGUGGUAUAACUAGAUUUCUUAAAUUUUAUGAGAUUUUCCUUAAAUAAAAAUAUUUUAAAUUUUUUUUAACAUGAUACAAAGCCAUCGUAUAUCUUUCUAAAGCUUUUGCGAACUUCAAUGCUUCGUUGAGAUUUGUGUUUGCUUAAUUUUCUCCAUUUGCGUUUUUCUUUUCAUAUUUUUUUUUCUUUGCACUUUUACAUUUAAAAUUAUAAAGGGUAUAUGGUCGUUGUCAGUGUAAACCAUAAUUUUAAUAACUUAAAACACUCAUAUUAGUUUGCAUUUAACCAACCUGCAAUUAAUAUUAGAAAAAUAUCCACAUAUUAAAAAUAGUAGUUACAAAACAUAUGUCAUUAAUAUACUAUUAAAGAAUCAUAAAUUAAAUAGUCUAUUUAAAUUUAUGUGCUAUUAAAAGUAUAUCAAAAACUGAAUUAUAUUUUUAAAUAUUAUUUAUAUGGGUUUUUAUCGUGUCAGAAACUAUCGAAUCGCGGAUUAAUGACAAGUUUUCUGAUUUUACUGGGUUUUAUCUGGUUUUCCAAUAUUAUAUUUUAACUGAAUCUGAACUGGAUUAUAUACGGAUCACCGGAUUUACCGGUUCGAUUGUAUGUCUGAAUCACAAAAACACUGUUAAAAAUUAUUAAACCCCAUAAAAUAUAUACUAUUAAUUUAGUCCAAAAUCUACCAAGUAAAUCUUACGUCUAACCAAUUCAACAGAUGUAACUCUUAUAAAAUGAAUAUCUAAUUAUAUAAAGUACACCUUGAAUCUCUCCCACAGUGUCCAGCUAUGAUGCCAUGUCACUAUUUCAGAUGCUCUCGAGCUGACACGUGGCUAUUUUAACAAAAACACAGCGGUUCAUUAAAGCUUCGUUGUACAUGCAUCACUUCUUUAAAGAUCCGUCGUCAUGGGUUUUGUUUGUAAAUAUUGUGCAAUUGGGCUUUAAAUUGGAAAUUAUCCGGGCCCGGCGUGAAGGAGACCCUCUAACCCUAAUCCGCUGCAGUGAUGAAACGAAGUCUGUCUAUCCUCUACCUACGUGCGACGCGCUGCAGCGACGUUCACGAUUUCUCACCAUCUGAAACAGUCUGAGUAAAGGCUACUUGAUUACUCCCAUUGAUUCACACCCCCCACUCCGUCUUCUUCAAUGCUGUUUGAUCUGAGAUGUUGUGGUUUCGGUAUAAAUAUGUUCCGGCAAGUGCUCCUCCGUCGUCGAGGCGAGGCUCCUGUGGUUUCGGUUCUGGGGAGACCAGAAAUGUUAAGCCUGGUGGUGAACUGGUGUGGGUCGAUAUGUUAAUGGUUGACGUGAAUGUGACCCAUAUAUAUAUAUAUAUCUAUGACGUAUAUUUCAAACUUCGCUAUCGUGUUGAGAUGGCUAUUGCUGAUGAUACUGCUGCAGGAACAUUUGUUUGGUUUGAUGGUGUGAUGAAGAAACUACAUAAUCUCAGAGCAAGUGAGGCUGUUCAGAUGCUGGCUGAAGAUGGAGUGAACUCUGAAGACUCUAGGAGACUAGGAUACCUUCGUUCAUUUCAGAUAUGGAAAGAAAGUCAAUACACUUUCCAGGUGAGGGUCACUGCUUAUAACUUACCCGGCAAUCAUAAGACGUUUACCAUAACAUGAUAUAUGAAGCAACGUUUCAGAAAGAAACAACAAUAUUGAUAUUCAGCAUUGUUGAUGAGCUUGGUCGUGUGCGAGACGAUGACGUGGGUGACAAUGGAGGUAACGAGGAUGAUGAUGACAACAUGCCUAAUGGCAAGCCAGCUCCUGUUGGGUUUGCAUCUGGAAGGGCCACUGGUAAUGGAUCAGAUGGGUCUAUACGGUACUGCGCGUAAGAAUCCGGACGUCUCAUCCUCUAAGGUGGUCAAGAAGGCGCGUGUUGCUUAGGAUGUAGCAGUAACAAAUUUUUGAUCAGAAUCUCAGUUUUAAUAAUACUUAUGCAUCUUUGUUUAAUUUCAAGUAUUUGGAUAUUUAUGUUUUAGAUAUUCCCAAUUAUAUGGGUACUUUUAAGUUUGUUUCAGUCUUUAUUCACUUUUAUAU
This is an RNA transcript of Brassica rapa (field mustard), 12429 nucleotides long. RefSeq lists it as uncharacterized. The record is from RefSeq and is a predicted model, not a curated record. NCBI's taxonomy places the organism in Eukaryota, Viridiplantae, Streptophyta, Magnoliopsida, Brassicales, Brassicaceae.